UAAAGACCAGGAACAACCUGGUGUACAUCACAUGCACGUCAACCUCCAAGAGUAGACAUGAUCUACAGAAUGCUGGUGGUUCUGCUGGGGCUAUACACAGGUGGGGAUGCUUCGGUACAACAUGCGGCAGGUCAAGGCCCCAGCAAGGGUUCACAAGGGUCAAGUAACCGGAUGUUUGGGAGGUGCAGACGGUGUCGGGUGCGCGAGGUCAACAUGGUGUUCCUGCCGUGCGGUCACAUGGUGUGUUGUGCCGAGUGUGGCGUCAUCUCCAGUACCUGUGACGUAUGUCACGCUCCAAUCAGGGGCAGUGUGAGGACAAGACACGUGAACACGUGAACUCAAAUACGUGAACUCUUCAGGUGUUUAAAACAAUGUGAUAUAUAUGUUUUAUUUAAACAAGCAAUGCAUGAAGCAGUGAAUUUACAUUCAACUUAAACGAACGGAAGAUUUCGCAUCACAGGGUCAAUACUUAGAACUAUUAUGGUUUAAUUUGUUAAAGGCAACGAUCUGAUUAAAGUUCCAUACUACA
Long non-coding RNA from Haliotis rubra (blacklip abalone), 529 nucleotides. RefSeq lists it as uncharacterized. The transcript has 2 exons. NCBI's taxonomy places the organism in Eukaryota, Metazoa, Mollusca, Gastropoda, Lepetellida, Haliotidae. The record is from RefSeq and is a predicted model, not a curated record.